AAUAGCUCCUCAAAAUCUCUGAAAAUUAUUUUUUUAAUGUAUUUUUUUUUAUUUUCUAAUGUAUUUUUUUUUUUUAAGAGAGAGCACAAGCAAAGGAGGGGCAGAGAAAGAGGGAGAGAGAGAGAGUCUCAAACAGCCUCUGCAAUGACAGCACGGAGCCCGACGUGGGCCUCAAACUCACAAACUGUGAGAUCAGGACCUGAGCUGAGAUCAAGAGUCAGAUGCUUAGCUGACUGAGCCACCCACGCUCCCGUGUAUCCUAGGUUUUGACGAGAACAUGACCCCAGAUGAUGCAGAAGAGAUUCAUUCUAAAAGUCAAGAAAACAGCUGGGUCAAAUCAUGCUAAACAGGGAUAAUAUUACCCUGCUCCAAAGUCUCUCCAACUAGAAAUGAUCAGUGAAGUGAGAAAUUCUUGAGAAGGCCAAGUAGUUUGUUUUUUUCGAUGCCCUUCUUUGGGAGGAUAGUUCUAAAACAUUUGUUGAGAUUGUUUUGAUUACCUUUAUGUUAUUACCCGAUGACAAUAAAUGCUGUGGGGUGGUUUUUACCUAAAAAGGAUUCAUAGUAAGUAAAGGAUGACAAUAGAACUGAAAAAAUACAGUAACCGAAAUAGAAAACUCACGGGACAGGUUCCUAGUGCAGUAGGAAUGACAAAAGAUAGAAUCAGCAAACUUGAGGACAGAUCAGUAGAAUUUAUACCAUCUCAACAACAAAGAGAAAAUAGAAACCCACACAGUUUCAGGGAUUGUGGGACCAUAACAAGACAUCCAACAUUCAUGUCAUCAGAGUCCCAGAAGGAAAGGAAAAAAGGGGGUAGCUAAAAGCAGAUUCAAAGCAACACUGGCUAGAAACUUGCAAAAUUUGGGAAAAUGCAUAAACCUACAGAUGCAAGAACAGUUUACCUUAGGUUAGGACCCCCCCACCAAAAAAAAAAAAAAAAAAAAAAAAAAACCUCAUCGAAGAUGCAUCAUCAGGAAACUAAAGACCGAGAAAAACUGUUGAAAGCAGCCAGAGAGAGAUCACAAAGUACCAAUACAGGAACACCAGUUCGAAUGCUGGCGCAUUUCUCAUCUGAAACCCGAGGCCAGAAGGAAGCAGCAUGACACGGUUCAGGUGCUGGAAGAAGAGAGCUGUCGGCCACAAAUUCUAUAUCCUCCGUGCAGCUAUCUUUGAGGAGUGAAGGGGAACUAGAGACGUUCUCAAAAGAAGAAAAACUAAAACACUCGGUCACUUCCGGACCUACUCCUCAAGAACAGCUAAAGAAGUCCUCCGGACCUUAGGGCAACGAUGAAGGAGCGUCAGCAAGGAAGACGACGGGAGGAACAGGUACAACAGGCCUGCCUUUUCCUUGUGAUUUUCCUAAAUCAUCUUUGAUGAUCGGAACAGAAAUGGUAACACCAUUUGAUACUCAGGACCAUGAUAUGUAAGAGCAGGGAAAUCAGAGUUGCCAAAUGCAAUCAGGCUUUGGAUGCUUAGCUUGAAAUGGGAAAAUGGGCGGCCACGUAGUAAAACGCUCCCUGAAUGCUUAUGCGAAGAAACUGACUGAGCUGCAACAUAGCAGGCUAAUACCAAAUUUGGGGAAAGCACGUUGAAAUCUGCAUUGUUAGCACUGUAUCACUAGGACUCAACGCUUGACUGAACAGGAUUUAAAAUGUAUGAGCACUUACGUGUGCGUACAGAAAAAUUCUUCUUGCUUAUUUCUCCCUUGAUUUAGCAAUAGUCAGACCUGCAAAUGCAUAAAAUCUUAAGUGAUUACUAAGAAGGUGCCUUGCAUGAUGACGACUACCUCUGUUUGCAGCUGUGAUUUUAAAAACCGUUGCCUAAUAAGCCAGCAUGGAAAGUGGCUCGUAAUCUCCUCUUUUGCAGAAGCAGGAGCAGUGACCUUCUCAGUGGCUCUGAGGAGUAUGAGCUACCGUCAGAAAGCACAGUGGGUUCUGCUAAGCUGGCGGUCAAGCAGCGGAGACGCCGUGACACAUGGGGGACUGGAAGCCCAGACAGGGGACGCUAACAGAAAACGGACAGCAGAGGAGCAGCCCUGAAGCCCAGAGCCCACUCACCGUGGUCUGGUGACGAGGGUCCGCUCCCCGCCACGUGGCCUCCCUGUCCGCCCCCUCAGAUUACAGACUGGCAUGUCCGGACUCUUCCCCCGAGAGGCGGCCUGGAGGGGACCCUGCCCCUCCAGCCUCCUGGCCUCUCUCCAACACGCAGGCCUUUCCCAGACCGAAGUUCCUGAGGCAGCACUUCCUUCAGGGAGAUCUGGAAGAGAGAGAAGGGUCGACACCUUCUCGGGAGGCCUCCUCUGGCUGCAAGGAUAAAAUUCUGACGGAACUACUAGUCUGCACCAACCACAGAUAGGCCGUCUUCUUUCUCCUCCCCCGGUAGACGCUGGAGAUGUUUCCUCUCGAGUUGUUGGGGUUCAACUGGACAAAAUUCUACAGGCGGUACAGAGUCUGUGAUCAGAAAAAUGCCUUUAUCACGGCGAAAAUCUGCUCGUGCCGAUGGACCGGAGAGAAGGCAGAAGAAGCAGUUGUGUCUCGGCGUAGCUGUUCUCCCUUGAAAUCCGGUAAAAAUGGCCCCGUGAAUGCAGGGCCUAAAAGUGAGUCCCCAAAGUGAGGGGCCUCUGGGACCCACACGCCAUCCCCCAAACAGGAAGAACCAUUUUCCUGGCAACGGAAAGAUUAAUCAUGCGUUUCACAAAGGAGACGCAAGGUUCGGUAAUGUGCGACCUUGAUUUACAGUGGCCUCCUGAUUUAUUGUUGUGUAUUUUUAAACCAUGCUAUUUAAAACACAGCUAAUUUAAAAGCUAGUGUGUAGGCCCCGUCUGACUAUGGCUAAAGAUUUACUUUGUGCUAAUAAGAAAAUUAUUGUGUCUACGCUAUUCCCACUUCUCCCGCACUGUGUGAUCCAACCUCCAAUAAAAUUGCUUGUCAGGUGAGAGACAUUGGUUUUCUACUGUAGUUACUAUUUCUUUGUCUCCAUCCCCCGCCCCUCCCCCCCCGAAAUACAGUUUACCGAAUGUUACAGACACUACAUAAGAAAGAUGCUUCUUAGCAACAGCGCUCAGGGUGAAUGAAACAGCAAGUGUUUUUAAAGGGGCCCUUUCUACCCGCAAGAACAGUACCGGCAAGAACUGAUGCACUUGGGUCAGAGGAUAGACACAUCAGCACCUUCCUCUCCUGCAUGAGGACACCGCCUGCCUCCCCGCCCAGCAAAGCCAGGCAGCCCAGUCGGCCACCCCCUUCCACUUGCACAGCGGCUGCUGGGAUCCGGGGCGAAACUCACGAAUUGAUAUUUUUAAAAAGUUCAGAAUAGGGCCUGACUCAUGGCAAACGUGCAGUAAGUGUUAGCCAUUCUUUUUAACUCAGAAAUAUUAAGUUCUAUGCAAGCUCAUUUUGUCCUAAAUAUUGUUAGUACAAGACUUUAG
Prionailurus viverrinus (fishing cat) is the source of this 3421-nucleotide long non-coding RNA. RefSeq lists it as uncharacterized. The transcript is spliced from 3 exons. Lineage: Eukaryota; Metazoa; Chordata; Mammalia; Carnivora; Felidae. The record is from RefSeq and is a predicted model, not a curated record.